Molecule: long non-coding RNA, 320 nt
Organism: Lepisosteus oculatus (spotted gar)
Lineage: Eukaryota; Metazoa; Chordata; Actinopteri; Semionotiformes; Lepisosteidae
Source: RefSeq, a predicted model, not a curated record
GUGAUCACCGGAAAAACAAGGCGCUAUAUCUCGGGAACGAAAACAGUACAAACCGGCCCAAACGCAGCACUAACGGAUGAGGUGGGUUUAAUCGUUUGUGCUGUCUGUAGGGGGGCUGACUUCAUGGAGCUCAAGGAUCCAGCUCCCGGGAGUGAGGCAGCACCUCCCAGCGAGUCAGCGAGUCUUCUUCCUUCUCUACCCCUGAGGGCCCAGCCCAGUCCUCAGGCAGCGAGCCACUCACCUGGUGAAGAAAGAGCACUUCAGAUUGCUGAAGGUCCCACUGGACACCAGAACGACCGUUUUCCCGGCGGCGGUCUUCC